AAACUUCCAAAUUCUGUUUUUCAUUUUUAACAUUUAAAAAUUUCUUGGUACAUUGUUGUUUUGUUUUUUGUGGGCUAUUGUUCCCCUUACAUUACAUUCUUUAAAUGAGUGUUUUUAAGAGAUUGCACUCACUGGCAGCUCAAUGUAUGAAUAGUCUCUAGAGUUAAAAUAUUUACAUAUCACACUGGGUACUAGCAGUAUAAACUUACUUAUACUUCCUAAAUGUGUUUGCUAUAAAUGGGAUUCAAAGCAGUUUCAAAACAUUUUGUUCGGUAUACAAGAAAACUUGUUACUUGUCUGUGGCGUUAAAGUUUAUAUAGAGGAAAGUUAGGUCACAGGAAAAAUCUUUCAUAUUCAGUAACGUUUAUAUAAAAUUUGUAACAAAAUUUAUGUUCAGUAGGGAAUGUAAACAAAUGUGGCUUUUGCAAGGCAUGAGGACUACAGUGACGUCAAGCAGCGCUCUGCUGAGUGCUCAGUCAUAUUCUAGUCUCCUGUGAACUGGUACUGUUUCAGUCAUGAUUGUGGAGAGGGAAGCACCCUUCUAGUGUAUAUACAUAUAUAUUUCCUUACAUAACAAAGCAGAUGAGUAUUACCAGAAGUUUAGUUCUACUUUCACUUAGACCACACAAAAGUUUAUUUAAGAAUUUUAUUGUAAAGCUCCUUUAAAACUUUUAAAGAGAUUCUAUUAUGAUUUUUUUAAAUAAAACCAAAUGGCAUGACUUAGACUGUCAGUCUUCUCUGUGUGUCUACUUUUCCUUUUCCCAUUGAUUUGUAGAGACUAAGGAGGACGUCUGGUCACUAUGGUCUGCUUUGAACAGGUGACCAGUGUUACUUACCCAGUGUUAGCAAGCAGUGUACCUUCAAGCCCUUCUAUCAGCUAAACGUCUCUGGCUUUGUCCCCUUUGGAGUUACCUAAGCUGUGGUCACAG
RNAcentral lists this long non-coding RNA (929 nucleotides) under Rattus norvegicus (Norway rat). RNAcentral's name for it is "long non-coding RNA NONRATT014950". Lineage: Eukaryota; Metazoa; Chordata; Mammalia; Rodentia; Muridae. The record is from RNAcentral.